This 319-nucleotide small nuclear RNA is filed under the name Bison bison bison. RNAcentral describes it as "7SK RNA (ENSBBBG00000022369.1)". It matches the Rfam family "7SK RNA", at positions 1 to 246 of the family's 331-position model. From Rfam's summary of the family: 7SK was discovered as an abundant small nuclear RNA in the mid-70s but a possible function has only recently been suggested. Two independent studies have found that 7SK RNA binds the CDK9/cyclin T complex (known as elongation factor P-TEFb). P-TEFb activates transcription by phosphorylating the C-terminal domain of RNA polymerase II. The record is from Rfam by way of RNAcentral. Lineage: Eukaryota; Metazoa; Chordata; Mammalia; Artiodactyla; Bovidae.
GGUUUUGCCAUAUAUCAACAUGAAUCUGUCACCCCAUUGAUCGUUAGGGUUGAUUCGGCUGAUCUGGCUGGCUAGGCGGGUGUCCCCUUCCUCCCUCACCGCUCCAUGUGCAUCCCUCCGGAAGCUGUGCACUCGGUCGAAGAGGACGACCAUCCCCCAUAGAGGAGGACCGGUCUUCGGUCCAAGGGUAUAUGAAUAGCUGCGCUCCCGGCUAGAACCUCCAAACAAAUCUAAUUCUCUUUAUCUCUGUCCCACAAAUCUAGUGUAAGCCCUCCUCAUUCAUCUCAUUUACUCCUACAAUUAUCUCCUGAUAUACUCU